GCUCAGGACGAACGCUGGCGGCGUGCUUAACACAUGCAAGUCGAGCGGAAAGGCCCCUUCGGGGGUACUCGAGCGGCGAACGGGUGAGUAACACGUGAGCAACCUGCCCCUGACUCUGGGAUAAGCCCGGGAAACUGGGUCUAAUACCGGAUAUAACCACUGGUCUCAUGAUCGGGUGGUGGAAAGUUUUUCGGUUGGGGAUGGGCUCGCGGCCUAUCAGCUUGUUGGUGGGGUGAUGGCCUACCAAGGCGACGACGGGUAACCGGCCUGAGAGGGCGACCGGUCACACUGGGACUGAGACACGGCCCAGACUCCUACGGGAGGCAGCAGUGGGGAAUAUUGCGCAAUGGGCGGAAGCCUGACGCAGCGACGCCGCGUGAGGGAUGACGGCCUUCGGGUUGUAAACCUCUUUCAGCAGGGACGAAGCUAACGUGACGGUACCUGCAGAAGAAGCGCCGGCUAACUACGUGCCAGCAGCCGCGGUAAUACGUAGGGCGCAAGCGUUGUCCGGAAUUAUUGGGCGUAAAGAGCUCGUAGGCGGUUUGUCGCGUCUGUCGUGAAAGCCCACGGCUUAACCGUGGGUCUGCGGUGGAUACGGGCAGACUAGAGGCAGGUAGGGGAGAAUGGAAUUCCCGGUGUAGCGGUGAAAUGCGCAGAUAUCGGGAGGAACACCGGUGGCGAAGGCGGUUCUCUGGGCCUGUACUGACGCUGAGGAGCGAAAGCGUGGGGAGCGAACAGGAUUAGAUACCCUGGUAGUCCACGCCGUAAACGUUGGGCGCUAGGUGUGGGGUCCUUCCACGGAUUCCGCGCCGCAGCUAACGCAUAAGCG
RNAcentral lists this ribosomal RNA (829 nucleotides) under Actinomadura sp. RNAcentral describes it as "bacterial SSU rRNA". It matches the Rfam family "Bacterial small subunit ribosomal RNA", at positions 22 to 866 of the family's 1533-position model. Lineage: Bacteria; Bacillati; Actinomycetota; Actinomycetes; Streptosporangiales; Thermomonosporaceae. The record is from RNAcentral.